AGAAUGUGUUUGUUUUCAGCUGUGCCCCGGUGCGGUCCGUCCCUCAAAUGUGUUCGUAGAACUGCGCGGAUAAGAGUAAAGUUCCGCCAUACAAAAUUCUAUUUUAAAAUAACUUGUGAUGUCUAGUAAGACUGAAUUAAAACCUCAUUUGCGUAUAUGAUGACGCAAUGUUUGUAGGUGGCUGUUCCACUUGGAAAAAUGGGGAUAAAGUGUAAUGGUACGGUGAAUAGCCUCCGUACCGUAGUAAGAGAGGUAAGAAUGUAAGUAAAAAGUAUCUAUACAAUGAUUGUUUAAUCUAUUGCCUAGUUAUCCCACGAUUAUCACAAUCUUUUAAAAUAAAAUAGAAUAAAAUAAAACAAGAAUACGGGAAAGCGGAAGCUAACCCUUUGACGCAAACCUCCAUGCUGCCGUACCGGAAGUUACGUUGUGAGUAUGUUUAUGUAUCCCGUGUGUACGUGCUGCAGUUACCUCAACUCAUGUUCAUUAGAAAGGUCAGCUAAAAACGUGUAGGUUAGUUUUGUAUUUUGUUAAAUGAAUUCAGGUGCAAUGAAGCAAGCCAAGCUGUCCGCCGGAAAACGUCUGACCAAACCAAUUCUGUUCGGGACAGUGAUUGUUGGACUGGCUACAGCCUUCUUUAACAGGAGGCCAGGUAGAGGAAGAGAAGAAGAGGUUGACAGGGCAGAGAGGAUGAAGGAGAGAGAGAGAGGAACAAACAUGCACAAAUAUCAUACAUUACAGAGAACAAACAUGACAGGCUGUUAUAAUUGGAAUGCUGAAAAACUAUGCAUUGUAUUUAUUAGUUUUUUUAUCUGAUACAUUGUAGCCCCUGGGUUUGUCAGAGGGCGGAUGCAGUUCAGCAUUCUGAUCUGGACAGAGAGAGAAAGAGAGAGGGAGGGAGAAACACAAAAACUACAAGGAAGACUGGAGAGGCCUGAUGAGUGAAGAGGGAGGAGAUGAAAGAAAAGGAGAGGAGGUGGAGGAACUGCUUGGUGGAUCAUGCUUGUGUCCCCCGUCAGCGUAGACCUAAAAGUUUAAAGACUUAGAGUUCAAAGAAUACGAGUUAGUCAGCCUGUUCUACCUGUGGCUGUAUGUCAAGAAGUGACUGUAACUAUACCUAUCAGCCCUAAACACUGUGUUUGAGGCUAACUAUAUGCUUUAUUAAACAGAAAGGGUUUAAGUGUGGUCUUUUUUUAUAUAACUAACAGCUCGUCCUCCCAUUCUACUUUUAUGAGUUCUAGGAACUACAAGUAAAGCUGCACUCAGAGAUCUUACUGUUCUAUAAGGGACAUAUGGUACUAUUACAUAUAUAUACAUGUAGAGCCUUGUAGGUGAGGAGAAAGAUUUUGAAGUUUAUUCUUGAGCCCACUGGGAGCUAGUUAAGAGAAGCUAGAACAGGAGAGAUAUGAUCCCUUUUGCCUCUAGCUGCUGCGUUCUGGAUCAUCUGCAGGCUGUUGAUGGAGUAAUGUGGACAUCUGGACAAUAGUGAGUUGCAGUAGUCCAGUCUGGAAGUAACAAAAGCACGGAUGAGUUUUUCAGCAUCACUCUGAGAGAGGAUGCUCUGAUCUUAGCAAUAUUACAGCCGGACAAGGUUGUCCCCACCUCUCUCAAUUUAUGAUUGCUCAGAAUGUUCUAGAAGUUAGGGUGAUUUAGAUUGAUGCAGAAGAUUGAAUAUUCUGA
Long non-coding RNA from Parambassis ranga (Indian glassy fish), 1677 nucleotides. NCBI's taxonomy places the organism in Eukaryota, Metazoa, Chordata, Actinopteri, Ambassidae. The record is from Ensembl.